Molecule: ribosomal RNA, 443 nt
Filed under: uncultured bacterium
Lineage: Bacteria
Description: partial 16S ribosomal RNA
Rfam family: Bacterial small subunit ribosomal RNA
Source: RNAcentral
CCUACGGGUGGCAGCAGUGGGGACUAUUGGGCAAUGGGCGCAAGCCUGACCCAGCAACGCCGCGUGAAGGCAGACGGCCCUCGGGUUGUAAACUUCUUUUUUCAAGGACGCAACAUAUGACGGUACUUGAUGACUCAGCAAUGUCUAAAUACGUGCCAGCAGCCGCGGCAAUACGUAGGUGGCAGGCGUUAUCCGGAUUUACUGGGUGUAAAGGGCGGGUAGGCGGGACUGCAAGUGAGAUGUGAAAACCAUGGGGUCAACCCAUGGCCUGCAGUUGAAACUGUAGUUCUUGAGUGUUGGAGAGGCAGGCGGAAUGCCGUGUGUAGCGGUGAAAUGCGUAGAUAUACGGAGGAACACCAGUGGCGAAGGCGGCCUGCUGGACAAUAACUGACGCUGAGGCGCGAAAGCGUGGGGAGCAAACAGGAUUAGAUACCCCAGUAGUC